AAAAUCAAAUAGUCCUCUGCCAAUAUUUAUUAUAAAUAUCUACCGACAGUCUGGCAUUGAGAAAAAUAACGAGAAAAUGAUGAGAAUGACAGCUAUAGCUAUGGUGUUCAUCGUCCUUUUAUCGGCCAAUAUGGACACUGUUGGCGUCGCAGCUCAAGGCGUUAAUUGCUAUGACUCUUGUAACACCGCCUGCGUUGGUCUCCCAACGAGAGAGUACUUGCGUUGUGAUGGAAAGUGUCAGAUCAGGUGCGGACCAGAUGGCAAAAUUGAUAGAAACUUGGGUUGAAAGUGCUAAAAGUACUAGCAAGCUAUCGAGGCUUAUAUUGUAGAGAGUUCCACAAUAAUAAUUGUUAUCUUUGAUAAUAAUCUCUUUAUGGUUUGGGAAACUAAACGUUACGUUUACGUGUAUGUUUAAUUACUACUAAUAAUAGAUGCAUUGUGUAAUGAUGAAA
Molecule: long non-coding RNA, 452 nt
Organism: Solanum dulcamara
Lineage: Eukaryota; Viridiplantae; Streptophyta; Magnoliopsida; Solanales; Solanaceae
Exons: 3
Source: RefSeq, a predicted model, not a curated record